UACGGAAGGGGCGAGCGUUGUUCGGAAUCAUUGGGCGUAGAGGGCGCGUAGGUGGUUCUGUAUGUCUACCGUGAAAGCGUACGGCUCAACCGUAUUUUGUCGGUAGAAACUGCAGGACUUGAGGCUGGGAGGGGCUGGUGGAAUUCCCUGUGUAGCGGUGAAAUGCGUAGAGAUGGGGGAGAACACUCGUGGCGAAGGCGGCCAGCUAGACCAGUUCUGACACUGAGGCGCGACAGCGUGGGGAGCAAACAGG
Molecule: ribosomal RNA, 253 nt
Filed under: uncultured bacterium
Lineage: Bacteria
Description: partial 16S ribosomal RNA
Rfam family: Bacterial small subunit ribosomal RNA
Source: RNAcentral